AGAGUUUGAUCAUGGCUCAGGAUGAACGCUAGCUACAGGCUUAACACAUGCAAGUCGAGGGGAAACGAUAUUGGAAGCUUGCUUCCGAUAGGCGUCGACCGGCGUACGGGUGAGUAACGCGUAUCCAACCUGCCCACCACUUGGGGAUAACCUUGCGAAAGUAAGACUAAUACCCAAUGACGUCUCUAGAAGACAUCUGAAAGAGAUUAAAGAUUUAUCGGUGAUAGAUGGGGAUGCGUCUGAUUAGCUUGUUGGCGGGGUAACGGCCCACCAAGGCGACGAUCAGUAGGGGUUCUGAGAGGAAGGCCCCCACAUUGGAACUGAGACACGGUCCAAACUCCUACGGGCGGCAGCA
This 355-nucleotide ribosomal RNA is filed under the name uncultured bacterium. Its description in RNAcentral is "bacterial SSU rRNA". It matches the Rfam family "Bacterial small subunit ribosomal RNA", at positions 8 to 353 of the family's 1533-position model. The record is from RNAcentral.